GACGAGCUUGUUUCCGGCCGGAGGUGUGAGUGUCGCACCCCAUAAGCAGCGAGGACCGACACACGCCAUUGUAUGAAUUUGUGCAUUCGCGUCUUUUUCGUUUAGUUUUAUUAAGGUUUUAUGUGCAGUUAGAUUUAACAGUCCCUUGUUACAUCAUCGACUCCCGUUUUUAAGGACAAAAUUUUAUUUACAAUUAAGGACAUGGCAUCAGAUUCGUGGGCCCAGGCUGUCGAUGAACAAGAAGCCGCAGCGGAAUCGAUAGGCAACUUGCAAAUAAAUGAAAAAGAUGACAAACCGAAAGCUGUAGCGAAUGGGGCAAAGACAGAAGGAGAUGGAGAGAAGACGGAGGACGAUGAUAAAGAUGACAAGGCAGCACAGUCACUACUGAAUAAACUGAUCCGCAGUAAUCUAGUGAACACGACCAAUCAAGUUGAAGUCCUUCAGAGGGAUCCGACCUCUCCGCUGUACUCCGUCAAGUCGUUUGAAGAGCUACGAUUGAAACCUCAGCUACUGCAAGGAGUGUAUGCCAUGGGUUUCAACAGGCCCUCCAAAAUCCAGGAGACCGCAUUGCCCAUGAUGCUCGCAGAACCUCCACAGAAUCUGAUCGCUCAGUCUCAGUCAGGCACGGGUAAAACGGCUGCCUUUGUGCUGGCCAUGUUAAGUCACGUGGACCCUGAAAACAAAUGGCCUCAGUGUCUGUGUGUGUCCCCCACAUACGAGCUCGCCCUACAGACGGGCAAGGUCAUCGAACAGAUGGGCAAAUUUUACCCUGAAGUCCAACUGGUGUAUGCCAUCAGAGGAAACAAAUUGGAGCGGGGAACAAAAUUACAGGAACAGAUCGUGAUUGGCACGCCUGGCACUGUUUUGGAUUGGUGCCAGAAGCUUAAAUUCAUCGACCCCAGGAAGAUCAAGGUGUUCGUCCUGGAUGAAGCUGAUGUCAUGAUCGCCACACAGGGCCAUCAAGACCAGAGCAUUCGUAUCCAGAGGAUGCUUCCUAAAACUUGCCAGAUGCUGCUGUUCUCUGCCACAUUUGAAGACACCGUGUGGAACUUCGCAAAGAGGAUCGUUCCCGACCCCAACAUCAUUAAACUGAAGCGCGAGGAGGAAACUCUAGACACCAUCAAGCAGUACUACGUCAUCUGCAACAGCAAGGAGGAGAAAUUCCAGGCUUUGUGCAACAUCUACGGAGCCAUUACUAUCGCACAGGCCAUGAUCUUCUGCCACACCAGGAAAACCGCCGGGUGGCUGGCAGGAGAGCUGUCCAGAGAAGGCCACCAGGUGGCGCUGCUCAGUGGAGAGAUGCAGGUGGAACAGAGGGCAGCGGUCAUCGAACGCUUUCGCGAUGGCAAGGAGAAAGUUCUCGUUACCACUAACGUCUGUGCUAGAGGUAUUGAUGUGGAGCAAGUUUCAGUCGUCAUCAACUUUGAUCUGCCAGUGGACAAGGAUGGAAACCCUGACAAUGAGACAUACUUGCACAGAAUCGGGCGCACUGGGCGAUUUGGCAAGAGGGGGUUGGCGAUAAACAUGGUGGACAGCAGAUUUAGCAUGAACAUCCUCAACCACAUCGAGGAGCACUUCAAUAAGAAAAUCGAGAAGCUGGACACAGAUGAUUUGGAUGAAAUCGAGAAAAUCGCCAACUGAGCGGCCGUCUUUGUUCUUCUAAUAGGACUGUGCUCGCGCUACGUUUUAAAUCAGAGGCUGGAAGCAGAGCUGUGCCAGAGAGGAUGUUUACAUGUGGAGCAGUUUUAUCUCAGAUGGGGUUUUUAUAGGUUUUGUUUAAACACAUUUCACUCUUUGUACUUGUUAAUACAUUUUGAAUGUCUAGUCUUAACGUCACGUGUACGAGAAUGCUACAGCAGCGGUCUGGGAUAGAGGCAUGAGGAAUAUGCCUUUCAAUAUAUCCACAAUUUCAUCGUGAACCUUUUAAAUUGACUUUGCCUUCACACAAAGCGUUAUAUUGAGUUCCAACAUGGGACUCCAAACCAAGGACUCGUAUUGUCGUAAUUGCGGAUGAGAUUUUUGUGGAACGAGCUGAAUUUUCUAUCACAAGCGUGCUACGCUUCAUGAAAAACGAGCUUUUUCCGUCAAGUUUGUGUUGUGUGAACUCUGGGUGCAGCUAUAUGUGAUUUGGUGUGACACUUCAAACUAGGAGUCAAAAUGCAGGGUUUAUUUAACAUAUUGAGAGAUUGCUGUUAUUGUGUUAUACAUUAAUACUUGAUACCUCAUGACAUUGCUACAGAAGGGAUGCUGGCAGUUAUUGGCUUCGAAUUAAACCGAAACGGUUGCCAAAAUCCUUUUAUUGGUAGGAAAUUAUGCAAAAGCCAAAGAUUUGUGCCUCCAUUGGAUUUGCUAGUAUUUAACAUGGAAUAACACAAUCGGAUCUAUUCAUCGUGUACAAAUAUUGUCAUAUUUAAUAAGUACAAAGAGUGAAACUGUUGCUAUAUUUAACAGAUGCAGUGUAAAGAAAGCAGAUGCAUCGCGGCAUUCGUUGUAAGAGUGCUCCGGAGCGGAAGCAUUAUUUGUGUUCCCAGUCCCAGACUGCAUUGAAUUGGAAAUGAUCAUGUUCUCGUACACAAAUGCAACCGAAGGCUGUGCCACAUUCCCAUUUGCAGCCGCCUUAAAAUUGUAAAAGGCAGAUGUUAGCGCAUCCUCUACAAUCUCACUGUAUUCUUCAGGGUAGCCGUAGCAAAUUAUUAUUUUAUAUUAUGGGACAUUUUAAUUUAACCACUCGAAACUCAACCGGCUCCAUUAUAUAUGCAUUAUGAUAGACGUAUAUUUUAUUCGUUGGUAUGCGAGUAGUGAGGUUGGGGUAAAGUGUGUCAGUCGCAUCUUUGAAGGGAAGACUUUUCUUAAUCGAUUAAAUAUAUCUCCUGAUGCCUUGUUCAUUUUCUCAGUUUGGUUCAAGCUGUCAAUCAUACCUGUUACAAUGAUAUUAAAUGGAGGGUUUUAUUUUUUUGUUUGC
This is an RNA transcript of Sinocyclocheilus anshuiensis, 2962 nucleotides long. It is a transcript of the gene named ATP-dependent RNA helicase DDX19B, with no coding region annotated. The transcript has 14 exons. The record is from RefSeq and is a predicted model, not a curated record. NCBI's taxonomy places the organism in Eukaryota, Metazoa, Chordata, Actinopteri, Cypriniformes, Cyprinidae.